UACGUAGGGUGCGAGCGUUAAUCGGAAUUACUGGGCGUAAAGCGUGCGUAGGCGGUUCGUUAAGUCCGUUGUGAAAGCCCCGGGCUCAACCUGGGAACUGCAAUGGAAACUGGCGGGCUUGAGUGUGGCAGAGGGGGGUGGAAUUCCGCGUGUAGCAGUGAAAUGCGUAGAGAUGCGGAGGAACACCGAUGGCGAAGGCAGCCCCCUGGGCCAACACUGACGCUCAGGCACGAAAGCGUGGGGAGCAAACAGG
Molecule: ribosomal RNA, 253 nt
Filed under: uncultured bacterium
Lineage: Bacteria
Description: partial 16S ribosomal RNA
Rfam family: Bacterial small subunit ribosomal RNA
Source: RNAcentral